Molecule: ribosomal RNA, 460 nt
Filed under: uncultured bacterium
Lineage: Bacteria
Description: partial 16S ribosomal RNA
Rfam family: Bacterial small subunit ribosomal RNA
Source: RNAcentral
CCUACGGGAGGCAGCAGUGAGGAAUAUUGGUCAAUGGGCGUAAGCCUGAACCAGCCAAGUCGCGUGAGGGAUGAAGGUUCUAUGGAUCGUAAACCUCUUUUAUAAGGGAAUAAAGUGUGGGACGUGUCCUGUUUUGUAUGUACCUUAUGAAUAAGGAUAGGCUAACUCCGUGCCAGCAGCCGCGGUAAUACGGAGGAUCCGAGCGUUAUCCGGAUUUAUUGGGUUUAAAGGGUGCGUAGGCGGCCUUUUAAGUUAGCGGUGAAAGUCUGUGGCUCAACCAUAGAAUUGCCGUUGAAACUGGGAGGCUUGAGUAUGUUUGAGGCAGGCGGAAUGCGUGGUGUAGCGGUGAAAUGCGUAGAUAUCACGCAGAACCCCGAUUGCGAAGGCAGCCUGCCAAGCCAUGACUGACGCUGAUGCACGAAAGCGUGGGGAUCAAACAGGAUUAGAUACCCGUGUAGUC